RNAcentral lists this ribosomal RNA (125 nucleotides) under Bacillus subtilis. Its description in RNAcentral is "partial 16S ribosomal RNA". It matches the Rfam family "Bacterial small subunit ribosomal RNA", at positions 1 to 122 of the family's 1533-position model. The record is from RNAcentral. RNAcentral also lists the same sequence under 9 other names. Lineage: Bacteria; Bacillati; Bacillota; Bacilli; Caryophanales; Bacillaceae.
UUAUCGGAGAGUUUGAUCCUGGCUCAGGACGAACGCUGGCGGCGUGCCUAAUACAUGCAAGUCGAGCGGACAGAUGGGAGCUUGCUCCCUGAUGUUAGCGGCGGACGGGUGAGUAACACGUGGGU